AGUAACGCGUGAGGAACCUGCCUCAAAGAGGGGGACAACAGUUGGAAACGACUGCUAAUACCGCAUAAGCCCACGGCUCGGCAUCGAGCAGAGGUAAAAGGAGUGAUCCGCUUUGAGAUGGCCUCGCGUCCGAUUAGCUAGUUGGUGAGGUAAUGGCCCACCAAGGCGACGAUCGGUAGCCGGACUGAGAGGUUGAACGGCCACAUUGGGACUGAGACACGGCCCAG
This 227-nucleotide ribosomal RNA is filed under the name uncultured bacterium. Its description in RNAcentral is "partial 16S ribosomal RNA". It matches the Rfam family "Bacterial small subunit ribosomal RNA", at positions 109 to 334 of the family's 1533-position model. The record is from RNAcentral.